CAGCAGCCGCGGUAAUACGAAGGGGGCUAGCGUUGCUCGGAAUGACUGGGCGUAAAGGGCGCGUAGGCGGAUGGUACAGUCAGAUGUGAAAUUCCUGGGCUUAACCUGGGGGCUGCAUUUGAUACGUUUUGUCUAGAGUGAGGAAGAGGGUCGUGGAAUUCCCAGUGUAGAGGUGAAAUUCGUAGAUAUUGGGAAGAACACCGGUGGCGAAGGCGGCGACCUGGUCCUUGACUGACGCUGAGGCGCGAAAGCGUGGGGAGCAAACAGGAUUAGAUACCCCCGUAGUCCCUGUCUCUUAUAC
RNAcentral lists this ribosomal RNA (301 nucleotides) under uncultured bacterium. Its description in RNAcentral is "partial 16S ribosomal RNA". It matches the Rfam family "Bacterial small subunit ribosomal RNA", at positions 509 to 807 of the family's 1533-position model. The record is from RNAcentral.